AUAUUGGGGUCUAACAUGCUCGAGUAGGGAAAACCCUGAGUUAAACCUGACAAAGGAGGGCAUGGAUAAGAUAACUAGCCAUGAAGUGCAUGGAGUUGGGGGAGGAAAGGAAGGAAGCACAAGGAGAACUAAACUGAAUGCCCUAUUAUUAACACUGCUCGGUGAGGAGAGGACGGUGAGAAACUUGGUUUGAAGUGACGGAUAUCUGUGACUGGAUCGCACACUGCUUCCAGCAGAAUACGACUGUCUCCAAAUAAAUGCUGCUGGUGCUACAAUGAGCCAAUGAUGAGGAAAUAAAGAUAAUGUGCACUAAAUCAUUUACAUGUUGUUUUAAGUCCAAAUAAAAACAAGGCACAAACAAAGA
This is a long non-coding RNA of Callorhinchus milii (elephant shark), 364 nucleotides long. RefSeq lists it as uncharacterized. NCBI's taxonomy places the organism in Eukaryota, Metazoa, Chordata, Chondrichthyes, Chimaeriformes, Callorhinchidae. The transcript has 3 exons. The record is from RefSeq and is a predicted model, not a curated record.